AAUAAAAUUAAAACUUCACAUAUAAAUAGAUCAUAAUACUCGAGUCACAAUAACUACAAAAUUUUUUAUUGUAUCUUGAUCUCCCAAGGACCAUAGCACUUACAAAAUUUAUUAACUAACAUAAGAGAACUAAAAGAAUAACAAUGAACUAGAAGGAAUAAAGUAUGACAUGUUAGAUCCACUUCAUCAUCAUUUUCUUCAAGAAAAUUAAGGUUGGGCAUAUAAACUUCAUGCUGCAAGAUAAACACCAAAAUUCAAUUUCAAUCUCCCACAAGCUGCCUGAUAAAUUGAAAAUAAAAGUUAAUAUUAAAGUUGGCACAACUUCAAUGUUCAUAUAUUCGUUAUGUUUGUACCUUCAACUCAUCUCUGCGAACAAAAUGCUGCUGAUCACCCCUUAUCCUGUAAAAGCAAACACUAAAAAAUUCUCGAUUUAGGCUAAAAUGUAAAAUACCAUGUGUGGCUCUGAAAUAUUCACAAACAGCACCCCUUUUAGUUUAGUAAAAAUGCAAGCACUGGUCAUGAUUUUUCAGUUUUGUAAUACUGGUACAGAUAAAUAAGAAAUUGCAGCACAUUCUUUUAUGUGGUAAAAGACUAAUAUAACAAAAGAGAGUUCAAUUUCCAAAAACUAUAAAAUGGCUAAACAAGUAUGCACUCAAAAGACUCAACCGUCUCCAUAAGUAAUGUUCUUGUACCCAAUGACAAAUAAUAUUUGUAUAUGCACAAAACUUACAGGUAUACAGGAAAUUCCAUAUCUUACUACUGGUGUAGUUCUAGGGCCAUCAGUUAACAUCUGGGGCACUAUAGGCAAUGGUUCGAAAGGGCUAGCAACAGGUGAUUGCUUGAUAACAUCCGUGGUCUGAUAGGGAAACCUGAAAAAGGUAUGAUCAUACAUGAAGUACUUAUAACAUUACUAAUAAAUAAUUCAUAUCAUUCUAGGAAAUGACUAUUGCAAGAGAGAUUUUGUUUUCCUACAACAGCAAAAAGAUCCUAUACGAAAGUUCGUUACGUGCUAUGGCACAAAAUAAGUACAUAGCAUAUAACAGAAGCUCAACUAGAUAUUGCAGGCGCAGAUAUAUGUUACUUUUUUGUUUUCCUGCAACAGCGCAAAGAUCCUACGUUAAACUUCAUUACGUCCUACGACACAAAAUAAACGCCACUACUGUACAUAGCAUUUAACAGAAGCUCAUCAAGAUAUUGCAGGUAGAUAUUUCAGUAAUUGAUGAUCUCCAUAUCGGAGAAAGCUAUAUGUAUAAUGAUAGUGAAACAUGAUGCACUCUUUAAGUUUUCAUAUAAUAUCCAAAUAUCACCAGCAGUAAAUAUAUUGACUCAUCUGAAAGAACUAGGGUGCCUGUCCAAACCAAGAACUGAAUGAAAAUUGCAAUAUAUCUCUUAUAGUCAAAUUGUUCAUACUAAAUUCUGAUCACUAGCACAAACAGUUAUUUAAUUCAGGGGAAGGAGUAUAAGAAGUCAGAGAUGAAGCAUACUGCUGAGCUGAGGUACUUUGUCCACCAACUUCUAUAACGCCAUCAAUGUCAUUUGCACCUUUCAGAUGGGCAAAAAUGAAAGUUAAAUAUCAGACGAUGAAAUCCAAAGUAUUGAAUCAUUAACAGAAAUAGUAUGACUUUAAAGGUUAUCUAUGUUGAACUACUAGAGAACGCACCUCCUGUUUGACUAGUUUGUGCUUGCUGAAAAAGGAGUGGGGAAAGAAGGCUGCAUUAUAGACAUAAAAAAGACAUUCUCCAUCAGAGCAAAGCUCCAAUAUAUCUAUCCAAUGUCAAAUUAGAAGAAGCAUCAUAAACUAUUACAUGUAUUAUCCGGUAUGGUAUACUUGAACCAAGUCAUGGGUUAUGCUGCAUAUCAAAGUAAACAGAAUUUGACUAGACCAUUGCUUAGAAAUAGUGCUAAUUGCAAUAAAAUAAAUAUAUAAACACACAUAUAUCUUCAUGGAGAAAAAAUAAAUGAACUAACAAUCCAUCUUGCAGCUUUUGCAAUGCCAAUGCUGGUAAACGUGGUAACAAGCAAUUGAAGAAGUCUGAAUGAAGUUUACAUAUAUAGGAUAUAUCAUCAUCACCUGCAAAAACAAAAAUAAAAACAAAAGUCAGUUCCUACAAUUAAAACUUCCCCUUUAACUAAACAACAAAUUCGAAAUUUUGCAAAAACUCACCAUACAGGAUCUCAUUUUUGAUAGAGUCCUAGCACAAAACGAACAGUGAUGGAACUUCACUCAUCUCUACGCCUUUGACUAUUUAGAAAUUAUAGAGCUGAAAUACAAAGUAUGAAUGUAAGAAUUUGAGUUCAAAAUAAACAACAGAAGAUCAAACACAUACAUAACCGAAGAACAUAUAAACACAUUCAGAAUAUUUACAACAGCAACAAUUAAGCAAAUUUAAAGACCUUCAUUCUAUAGAUGAACUCUGAAAAUUGAAAGUACCCAGAACAAUUAACUCAUCUAGAGUUUUUAUCAGAAAUUCAUUUAACUUCUUUAGCAUAUCUCAUGUCUUUUACUGCAUUAGACUUAACAAACCAGUACAAAAGAACCAUUGUACCACAUUGAAACGCAAGCAUGGAUGAUCCAUUGGAAUAAGACAAAAAUACAAGUCCACUGAACAAAAUAUGCAAUAUAAAAGAAAGGAAAUCGCUGGAAAGAGUAACAUCUCAAGUUAGUCAGGAGAAUAGAGAAAUAGACAAACUGGAAAUUACGAGAUAUACACAUCCAUAGAACAAAACCACCUUUUUCUUCUGAAUAUCCUAGUCUCCCCUAUUUCUAAUAUCGUAUCAAGACCAGUGUAUGGUCUUAACCUCAACACUGGGCAGACUCAUUCUCUCUACAAACGUAUAAAAUCUUGAACUAGAACUCUCACUAAAUUCAUAAUCACCAAUAACCUCAAAUUAUUAAGGAAAACAAAAAACAUAGGCAUAAUUAGUACAUUUUCAACAGAGAAGGGCAAUUCUUGUGAUGGGCAAACAAAGAGGAAAAGAACAAAGAAGAAAUUACGGUUCCAAAUUGAGAAAAAGAAGAGAAAUUAACUAGAAGUUACAAUUUGUGAGAAAUAUAGAUAAGUUUUCUAUAACAAGCUAUUACAGAAAUUUACGGUAUAACAUACCAGCGACAAUUUGAGAGCUGAGAGUUUCAAUUUGAGAGAGGACAACUUCAAUUUCAGAGAAAAGAGUUUCAAUUUCGAGACCAGUGGCAAGGUAGCGACGAGGUAGCGGCGACGGCAAGGCAGGGAGACAAGGCGGCGACAAGAUAGACUAUUUGGGAUUUGGGGUUUUGGGUUAGGCUAGAGACAGAGCGAAAGAGCGAGAGAGCCACUGCCAGAGACUAAUUUGGGUAAUUAUUGUCGAGCAGUCGUGCAG
Molecule: long non-coding RNA, 3357 nt
Filed under: Panax ginseng (ginseng)
Lineage: Eukaryota; Viridiplantae; Streptophyta; Magnoliopsida; Apiales; Araliaceae
Description: long non-coding RNA (PGIN_LNC003281)
Source: RNAcentral